CCUACGGGGGGCUGCAGUGGGGAAUAUUGGGCAAUGGGCGCAAGCCUGACCCAGCGACGCCGCGUGAGGGAAGAAGGCCUUUGGGUCGUAAACCUCUGUUGUAUGGGAAGAAGGAAGUGACGGUACCAUACGAGGAAGUCCCGGCUAACUACGUGCCAGCAGCCGCGGUAAUACGUAGGGGACGAGCGUUGUCCGGAAUUACUGGGCGUAAAGGGCGCGCAGGCGGAUAUUUAAGUCAGCUGUAAAAGGCAUGAGCUCAACUCAUGUAUGCGGUUGAAACUGGGUAUCUAGAGUGCUGGAGAGGUAGGCGGAAUUCCCGGUGUAGCGGUGAAAUGCGUAGAUAUCGGGAAGAACACCAGUGGCGAAGGCGGCUUACUGGCCAGCAACUGACGCUGAGGCGCGAAAGCCAGGGGAGCGAACGGGCUUAGAUACCCCAGUAGUC
This 442-nucleotide ribosomal RNA is filed under the name uncultured Aminobacterium sp. RNAcentral describes it as "bacterial SSU rRNA". It matches the Rfam family "Bacterial small subunit ribosomal RNA", at positions 338 to 795 of the family's 1533-position model. The record is from RNAcentral. Lineage: Bacteria; Thermotogati; Synergistota; Synergistia; Synergistales; Aminobacteriaceae.